This is a long non-coding RNA of Cyprinus carpio (common carp), 801 nucleotides long. RefSeq lists it as uncharacterized. The record is from RefSeq and is a predicted model, not a curated record. The transcript has 2 exons. NCBI's taxonomy places the organism in Eukaryota, Metazoa, Chordata, Actinopteri, Cypriniformes, Cyprinidae.
CACCCGCAAACAGCCACACAUACCUAUAUACUCGAUAUAAUCUUUUAGAUUAGAAUCUCUUCUUUCAAACAAGACCAUUUUUUUACGUUUCUGCGUGCUUCCAUUGGUGAGAUAUAAAGCGUUAUGUCCAGACGCGCUCAAAGAGAAAGACGCAGUUCUUUGAGACAGAAGCGCUCUUCAUGUCAUAAGAUGUGCCUAAGCGGCUUUCUUCUGAUAUAUCGAUCGGAUCUCUUUUGUGAACCACUAUUUGUCCCUUCAGCUGUCAGUCUGAGCUGUGUGCUCCACUCAGAGCUGCUGAAUUUGACACCUCUGCGUCAACAGCGGGGGGAUGGAGUGGACAGUGAUGACCACAUCCUCCUCAGCCGGUGAAGCACUGGCUGAUGGGAUAUUGAGUCCUCAAGUGUCCGUAAACAAAGAUCACACGCGGAAUAACUCGCGUCGCGGUGAUUAUCAAAUGUAUAAUAAUCAUACUACAAGUUAUGGAUGACCACCGUCGCCGUGGAGAGGACAGGACGCGCAUCUGGUCGUGUACAAGCUUCGGGUAGCGGAUUAUCGCUGAUAAUGCGUCAAAACAACAGAAGGGACACUGGAAUAUGAAAUAUUACAGAUGAUUGAGACAGGUAAGAUCUCCCAAUCAUUACACCAAUGCAGAAUGGACAUAAAUGAAAUGAUAUGAAGCUGGAGAUUGUGGAUUCUAUUUUAGAUUGUGAUAGACCAGAUAUAUUUAAUAAUUUAAAGCAGUUUGCUAGUUUGCAGUGUGACUUAUCCUCUUUCAAAGUCUGUUCUGAAAACACACACACA